RNAcentral lists this ribosomal RNA (253 nucleotides) under uncultured bacterium. RNAcentral describes it as "partial 16S ribosomal RNA". It matches the Rfam family "Bacterial small subunit ribosomal RNA", at positions 524 to 776 of the family's 1533-position model. The record is from RNAcentral.
UACGGAGGGUGCAAGCGUUACUCGGAAUCACUGGGCGUAAAGGAUGCGUAGGCUGUAAUAUAAGUCAGGAGUGAAAUCCAACGGCUCAACCGUUGAACUGCUCUUGAAACUGUUUUACUAGAAUAUGGGAGAGGUAGAUGGAAUUGGUGGUGUAGGGGUAAAAUCCGUAGAUAUCACCAGGAAUACCGAUUGCGAAGGCGAUCUACUGGAACAUUAUUGACGCUGAGGCAUGAAAGCGUGGGGAGCAAACAGG